RNAcentral lists this ribosomal RNA (253 nucleotides) under uncultured bacterium. Its description in RNAcentral is "partial 16S ribosomal RNA". It matches the Rfam family "Bacterial small subunit ribosomal RNA", at positions 524 to 776 of the family's 1533-position model. The record is from RNAcentral.
UACGUAGGGGGCAAGCGUUAUCCGGAUUUACUGGGUGUAAAGGGAGCGUAGACGGCGAUGCAAGUCUGAAGUGAAAGGCGGGGGCCCAACCCCCGGACUGCUUUGGAAACUGUAUGGCUGGAGUGCAGGAGAGGUAAGUGGAAUUCCUAGUGUAGCGGUGAAAUGCGUAGAUAUUAGGAGGAACACCAGUGGCGAAGGCGGCUUACUGGACUGUAACUGACGUUGAGGCUCGAAAGCGUGGGGGGCAAACAGG